This 434-nucleotide ribosomal RNA is filed under the name uncultured Lachnospiraceae bacterium. RNAcentral's name for it is "bacterial SSU rRNA". It matches the Rfam family "Bacterial small subunit ribosomal RNA", at positions 341 to 792 of the family's 1533-position model. Lineage: Bacteria; Bacillati; Bacillota; Clostridia; Lachnospirales; Lachnospiraceae. The record is from RNAcentral.
ACGGAAGGCAGCAGUGGGGGAUAUUGCACAAUGGGGGAAACCCUGAUGCAGCGACGCCGCGUGAGCGAUGAAGUAUUUCGGUAUGUAAAGCUCUAUCAGCAGGGAAGAAAAUGACGGUACCUGACUAAGAAGCUCCGGCUAAAUACGUGCCAGCAGCCGCGGUAAUACGUAUGGAGCAAGCGUUAUCCGGAUUUACUGGGUGUAAAGGGAGCGUAGACGGUGACGCAAGUCUGAAGUGAAAGGUGUGGGCUCAACCCGCAAACUGCUUUGGAAACUGUGUGACUAGAGUGUCGGAGAGGUAAGUGGAAUUCCUAGUGUAGCGGUGAAAUGCGUAGAUAUUAGGAGGAACACCAGUGGCGAAGGCGGCUUACUGGACGAUAACUGACGUUGAGGCUCGAAAGCGUGGGGAGCAAACAGGAUUAGAUACCCUGGUA